GAAAUGCGAUAAGUAAUGUGAAUUGCAAAAUUCCGUGAAUCAUUAAAUCUUUGAACGCACCUUGCGCUCUUUGGCAAUCCAGAGAGCAUGUCUGUUUGAGAAUCAGUUUAAAUCUCAACUCCUUUGUUGGAAACGAUAAAGUUUGUUGGAUCUGGGCUUUUCACUAACACUGAAAUUCCUUAAUUAAAAGUUGCCUGGUGUAUCUUUUGAAACGUUUACCGGAAAGCAUGACCAAUGGACGCUGGCCUCGGCCAAGUUCUUGAUUGCUGAUAAAGGCCGUCGAGAAAAUACUAUCUUGGUAAAAAUUUAAACACGAAAGUAUUAAACCCACUUUUAAGACUUGAUCUCAAAUCAGAUAAGACUACCCGCUGAACUUAA
RNAcentral lists this unclassified non-coding RNA (378 nucleotides) under uncultured Chytridiomycota. RNAcentral describes it as "sequence contains ITS1". The stretch from base 1 to 105 matches the Rfam family "5.8S ribosomal RNA", at positions 50 to 154 of the family's 154-position model. The record is from RNAcentral. Lineage: Eukaryota; Fungi; Chytridiomycota.